Molecule: ribosomal RNA, 465 nt
Filed under: Vreelandella stevensii
Lineage: Bacteria; Pseudomonadati; Pseudomonadota; Gammaproteobacteria; Oceanospirillales; Halomonadaceae
Description: partial 16S ribosomal RNA
Rfam family: Bacterial small subunit ribosomal RNA
Source: RNAcentral
CCUACGGGUGGCAGCAGUGGGGAAUAUUGGACAAUGGGCGAAAGCCUGAUCCAGCCAUGCCGCGUGUGUGAAGAAGACCUUCGGGUUGUAAAGCACUUUCAGUGGGGAAGAAAGCCUUGGGGCUAAUACCCUCGAGGAAGGACAUCACCCACAGAAGAAGCACCGGCUAACUCCGUGCCAGCAGCCGCGGUAAUACGGAGGGUGCGAGCGUUAAUCGGAAUUACUGGGCGUAAAGCGCGCGUAGGCGGUCUGAUAAGCCGGUUGUGAAAGCCCCGGGCUCAACCUGGGAACGGCAUCCGGAACUGUCAGGCUAGAGUGCAGGAGAGGAAGGUAGAAUUCCCGGUGUAGCGGUGAAAUGCGUAGAGAUCGGGAGGAAUACCAGUGGCGAAGGCGGCCUUCUGGACUGACACUGACGCUGAGGUGCGAAAGCGUGGGUAGCAAACAGGAUUAGAUACCCUGGUAGUC